RNAcentral lists this long non-coding RNA (1353 nucleotides) under Felis catus (domestic cat). RNAcentral's name for it is "lncRNA (ENSFCAG00000046064.2)". Lineage: Eukaryota; Metazoa; Chordata; Mammalia; Carnivora; Felidae. The record is from RNAcentral.
UAUCAGUUAGAGGAUACAGAACAAGCAAGGCAUUGACCACAUACAUUAGUCUCCUGUAGCACAGAAUAUUGAAAUAAGACGAGGAAAAUAUUAUAACCAAAAUGUGGGCGGGAACUAGAACACGGAGGCUUCAGAGUUGGAAGUUUUUUCCCAAAGCGGAGGCAACUGCUGAUAAGCUCUGGUGGGGGAUUCCAUAAUCUAGGCAGUGUUGCAGAGAGAGGAAACAGAGAGUGUAGGGUAGAAGGCAUUUGUCAGGGAGAAGUGAUUAGGAGGUUGUGGUAAAAAAUAAGGGAUCCCUACGCAGGGACACUGGAUCCGAGAAAAGCGGCAUUGCAGGAAAAUUAGUGAGGUGGGAUACACAGGGCUGAUUGAAAUGCCAAAGAAGAGGCUACGGAGAAAGGACAGAAGGAGGAAUCAGCUCACUUCAAGGGCUGGAGUCUGAGUUCCUGGGAGGAUGGUCAUGCCAUUGACAGAAAUCUAGAACGCGGGUUAAGGGGCACCUCGUGGUGGGGAUGGAGAGCAUAGUAAAUGUGAUCCAUCCUGCCGAGGUUGAUUUUAAGGAGCUGAUUAGACCUGCCGUGUAAAGUGUCAUUAGACCUGAGCUAGAGCUCAGGAGAGGGGUCAAGCCAUUUUGAAACCAUCAGGAAAGAGGAAAAGCCAUCGGGACUGUGAAACUCUAGGAGGAAAAUGAGAAGGGUCCAGGGGAUGAAGGCAACAGUUUCAGGCCGUUGACUGGAAGGGGAGGCAAAUCGACUCUCCGUGAGGAUGUGGACACUGAGGGUCGGAAAGCUUAAACGACUCAUCGGAGGCCACACAGCUAAUUUGUGACCUGAAGGAAGUCCAACCCGAGUGGGUCUGAUUUGGGAAGCCACUCCCUCCGAUUCCACCAGCCCGCCACCUGGCACCCCGCCUCAGUCCAAGGUCCACCGCACCACCUUCUACCCCUUCCACGUCCUGGAGGCGGCAACUUCUGCUCGACACAGCCCAAACGACUCCAAAAACAGAGCCUGCUUAUUGCCGGCAAGAGACUCGGGAAGAGGACCUUGGCUCCGUUGUCAGGCAGCCCCCGGCACUCCCAUCUGGAAGAAACUCAUUGGAGCCGACGUAAGUGACCUGUAACUUAGAACCGGCGAGCCAGGGUCAGGAAUAAUCAAGCCUCAGCCCGGUAAUUUAUCAACACCUAGAAGCGCGCUUCCGAGGCUGCCUGUCUCUUUCAGUUGUUCAGGCACGGGCCACACAGCUCUCCCUCAGUCCUCCAGUGGCAGGAGGACUUCAUAAAUGACAUUUGAUUAUGCUCAACACAGCAGCCAGUACACCAACCGCAAUAAAGACAGCAAACACGAGCGAUCUCCA